UAGGGAAUCUUCGGCAAUGGGGGGAACCCUGACCGAGCAACGCCGCGUGAGUGAAGAAGGUUUUCGGAUCGUAAAGCUCUGUUGUUAAGGAAGAACGAGUGUGAGAAUGGAAAGUUCAUACUGUGACGGUACUUAACCAGAAAGGGACGGCUAACUACGUGCCAGCAGCCGCGGUAAUACGUAGGUCCCGAGCGUUGUCCGGAUUUAUUGGGCGUAAAGCGAGCGCAGGCGGUUAGAUAAGUGUGAAGUUAAAGGCAGUGGCUCAACCAUUGUAGGCUUUGGAAACUGUUUAACUUGAGUGCAGAAGGGGAGAGUGGAAUUCCAUGUGUAGCGGUGAAAUGCGUAGAUAUAUGGAGGAACACCGGUGGCGAGAGCGGCUCUCUGGUCUGUAACUGACGCUGAGGCUCGAAAGCGUGGGGAGCGAACAGG
RNAcentral lists this ribosomal RNA (429 nucleotides) under Bacteroidota bacterium. Its description in RNAcentral is "Bacteroidetes bacterium partial 16S ribosomal RNA". It matches the Rfam family "Bacterial small subunit ribosomal RNA", at positions 355 to 776 of the family's 1533-position model. The record is from RNAcentral. Lineage: Bacteria; Pseudomonadati; Bacteroidota.